GCGGGUGUGGUGAAAUUGGCAGACACGCCAGAUUUAGGUUCUGGUGCCGCGAGGCGUGGGGGUUCAAGUCCCUCCACCCGCACCA
This 85-nucleotide transfer RNA is filed under the name Rhodomicrobium sp. RNAcentral's name for it is "tRNA-Leu". It matches the Rfam family "tRNA". From Rfam's summary of the family: Transfer RNA (tRNA) molecules are approximately 80 nucleotides in length. Their secondary structure includes four short double-helical elements and three loops (D, anti-codon, and T loops). Further hydrogen bonds mediate the characteristic L-shaped molecular structure. tRNAs have two regions of fundamental functional importance: the anti-codon, which is responsible for specific mRNA codon recognition, and the 3' end, to which the tRNAs corresponding amino acid is attached (by aminoacyl-tRNA synthetases). tRNAs cope with the degeneracy of the genetic code in two manners: having more than one tRNA (with a specific anti-codon) for a particular amino acid; and 'wobble' base-pairing, i.e. permitting non-standard base-pairing at the 3rd anti-codon position. Lineage: Bacteria; Pseudomonadati; Pseudomonadota; Alphaproteobacteria; Hyphomicrobiales; Hyphomicrobiaceae. The record is from RNAcentral.